This 99-nucleotide non-coding RNA is filed under the name marine eukaryotic metagenome. RNAcentral describes it as "SAM riboswitch (S box leader)". It matches the Rfam family "SAM riboswitch aptamer (S box leader)". Rfam says of the family: The SAM riboswitch is found upstream of a number of genes which code for proteins involved in methionine or cysteine biosynthesis in Gram-positive bacteria. The SAM riboswitch acts at the level of transcription termination control. The record is from RNAcentral.
CUUAUGAAGAAAGGAUGAGGGAGUGGCCCUUUGAUUCCUUGGCAACCUGUUUAACAUGGAUAAGGUGCCAAUUCCAACGGAUAUAUUCCGAUAGAUAAG